AACGAACGCUGGCGGCAGGCUUAACACAUGCAAGUCGAGCGCCCCGCCAGGGGCGCGGCCGACGGGUGCGUAACGCGUGGGAACGUACCUUUUGGUUCGGAACAACUCCGGGAAACUGGAGCUAAUACCGGAUAAGCCCUAACGGGGAAAGAUUUAUCGCCGAAAGAUCGGCCCGCGUCUGAUUAGCUAGUUGGUGAGGUAACGGCUCACCAAGGCGACGAUCAGUAGCUGGUCUGAGAGGAUGAUCAGCCACACUGGGACUGAGACACGGCCCAGACUCCUACGGGAGGCAGCAGUGGGGAAUAUUGGACAAUGGGCGCAAGCCUGAUCCAGCCAUGCCGCGUGAGUGAUGAAGGCCUUAGGGUUGUAAAGCUCUUUUGUCCGGGAAGAUAAUGACUGUACCGGAAGAAUAAGCCCCGGCUAACUUCGUG
Molecule: ribosomal RNA, 431 nt
Filed under: uncultured bacterium
Lineage: Bacteria
Description: partial 16S ribosomal RNA
Rfam family: Bacterial small subunit ribosomal RNA
Source: RNAcentral